RNAcentral lists this transfer RNA (71 nucleotides) under Stegodyphus mimosarum. It matches the Rfam family "tRNA". Rfam says of the family: Transfer RNA (tRNA) molecules are approximately 80 nucleotides in length. Their secondary structure includes four short double-helical elements and three loops (D, anti-codon, and T loops). The record is from Rfam by way of RNAcentral. Lineage: Eukaryota; Metazoa; Arthropoda; Arachnida; Araneae; Eresidae.
GCCUUCGUGGUGCAACGGUUACGCACUCGGCGGGCAAUCGAGAGGUCCAGGUUCCAGUCCCGGCGAGGACA